GAGCAAGGGUGUCUUUCAAAAAUGACAAAACACUUGCAUUGAAGGUUGGCGAUAUCUUUAGCGAUUCUCCGUGCCUUUCAAACUUUUUUUGUAUUGAUUACGGCCUCGAACAAAUCGCUACAUU
Molecule: small nucleolar RNA, 124 nt
Filed under: Capsicum annuum
Lineage: Eukaryota; Viridiplantae; Streptophyta; Magnoliopsida; Solanales; Solanaceae
Source: RNAcentral